GAUGAACGCUGGCGGUAUGCUUAACACAUGCAAGUCGAACGGUCUCUUCGGAGAUAGUGGCGGACGGGUGAGUAACGCGUGAGAAUCUGGCUCUAGGUCUGGGACAACCACUGGAAACGGUGGCUAAUACCGGGUGUGCCGAAAGGUGAAAGGUUAACUGCCUGGAGAUGAGCUCGCGUCUGAUUAGCUAGUUGGUAGGGUAAAAGCUUACCAAGGCGACGAUCAGUAGCUGGUCUGAGAGGACGAUCAGCCACACUGGGACUGAGACACGGCCCAGACUCCUACGGGAGGCAGCAGUGGGGAAUUUUCCGCAAUGGGCGAAAGCCUGACGGAGCAAUACCGCGUGAGGGAGGAAGGCUCUUGGGUUGUAAACCUCUUUUCUCAGGGAAGAAAAAUGACGGUACUUGAGGAAUAAGCAUCGGCUAACUCCGUGCCAGCAGCCGCGGUAAUACGGAGGAUGCAAGCGUUAUCCGGAAUGAUUGGGCGUAAAGCGUUCGCAGGUGGCAUUGAAAGUCUGCUGUCAAAGAGUCUGGCUCAACCAGAUACAGGCAGUGGAAACUUCAAAGCUAGAGUGCGGUAGGGGCAGAGGGAAUUCCUGGUGUAGCGGUGAAAUGCGUAGAGUUCAGGAAGAACACCGGUGGCGAAAGCGCUCUGCUAGACCGCAA
RNAcentral lists this ribosomal RNA (665 nucleotides) under Rhizonema sp. 'cyanobiont of Corella melvinii'. RNAcentral's name for it is "bacterial SSU rRNA". It matches the Rfam family "Bacterial small subunit ribosomal RNA", at positions 28 to 739 of the family's 1533-position model. The record is from RNAcentral. Lineage: Bacteria; Bacillati; Cyanobacteriota; Cyanophyceae; Nostocales; Rhizonemataceae.